This 496-nucleotide ribosomal RNA is filed under the name uncultured bacterium. RNAcentral describes it as "partial 16S ribosomal RNA". It matches the Rfam family "Bacterial small subunit ribosomal RNA", at positions 28 to 507 of the family's 1533-position model. The record is from RNAcentral.
GAUGAACGCUGGCGGCGUGCCUAAUACAUGCAAGUAGAACGCUGAAGGAAGGAGCUUGCUCUUUCCGGAUGAGUUGCGAACGGGUGAGUAACGCGUAGGUAACCUGCCUGGUAGCGGGGGAUAACUAUUGGAAACGAUAGCUAAUACCGCAUAACAGUAGAUGUUGCAUGACAACUAUUUGAAAGGGGCAAUUGCUCCACUACCAGAUGGACCUGCGUUGUAUUAGCUAGUUGGUGAGGUAACGGCUCACCAAGGCGACGAUACAUAGCCGACCUGAGAGGGGGACCGGCACCAUUGGACUGAGACACGGCCCAGACUCCUACGGGAGGCAGCAGUAGGGAAUCUUCGGCAAUGGACGGAAGUCUGACCGAGCAACGCCGCGUGAGUGAAGAAGGUUUUCGGAUCGUAAAGCUCUGUUGUAAGAGAAGAACGAGUGUGAGAGUGGAAAGUUCACACUGUGACGGUAUCUUACCAGAAAGGGACGGCUAACUACGUG